This 497-nucleotide ribosomal RNA is filed under the name uncultured bacterium. Its description in RNAcentral is "partial 16S ribosomal RNA". It matches the Rfam family "Bacterial small subunit ribosomal RNA", at positions 28 to 507 of the family's 1533-position model. The record is from RNAcentral.
GAUGAACGCUGGCGGCGUGCCUAAUACAUGCAAGUCGAGCGAACAGACGAGAAGCUUGCUUCUCUGAUGUUAUCGGCGGACGGGUGAGUAACACGUGUAUAACCUACCUAUCAGACUGUGAUAACUUCAGGAAACCGGAGCUAAUACCGGCUAAUAUUUUGACCCACAUGCUUCCCAAGUUAAAGACGGUCUUGCUGUCACUUAUAGAUGGAUCAGCGGUGCAUUAGCUAGUUGGUAAGGUAACGGCUUAACAAGGCAACGAUGCAUAGCCGACCUGAGAGGGAGGUAGGCCACACUGUAAGUGAGACACGGCACAGACUCAUACGGGAGGCAACAGUAGGGAAUCCUACGCAAUGGGCGAAAGCAUGACGGAACAAAGUGGCGUGAGUGAUGAUGGUCCUAGGAUGGGAAAACGCUGAUAGUAGUGAAGAACAUAUGUGUAAGUAACUGGGCAGAUCUUGACGGUACCGAAUGAAAAAGCCACGGCUAACUACGUG